GACGAACGCUGGCGGCGUGCUUAACACAUGCAAGUCGAACGGAAAGGCCCUGCUUUUGUGGGGUGCUCGAGUGGCGAGCGGGUGAGUAACACGUGAGUAACCUGCCCUUGACUUUGGGAUAACUUCAGGAAACUGGGGCUAAUACCGGAUAGGAGCUCCUGCUGCAUGGUGGGGGUUGGAAAGUUUCGGCGGUUGGGGAUGGACUCGCGGCUUAUCAGCUUGCUGGUGGGGUAGUGGCUUACCAAGGCUUUGACGGGUAGCCGGCCUGAGAGGGUGACCGGCCACAUUGGGACUGAGAUACGGCCCAGACUCCUACGGGAGGCAGCAGUGGGGAAUAUUGCACAAUGGGCGGAAGCCUGAUGCAGCAACGCCGCGUGCGGGAUGACGGCCUUCGGGUUGUAAACCGCUUUCGCCUGUGACGAAGCGUGAGUGACGGUAAUGGGUAAAGAAGCACCGGCUAACUACGUG
Molecule: ribosomal RNA, 468 nt
Filed under: uncultured bacterium
Lineage: Bacteria
Description: partial 16S ribosomal RNA
Rfam family: Bacterial small subunit ribosomal RNA
Source: RNAcentral